This 416-nucleotide ribosomal RNA is filed under the name uncultured bacterium. RNAcentral's name for it is "bacterial SSU rRNA". It matches the Rfam family "Bacterial small subunit ribosomal RNA", at positions 917 to 1333 of the family's 1533-position model. The record is from RNAcentral.
GGGCCCGCACAAGCGGUGGAGCAUGUGGUUUAAUUCGACGCAACGCGAAGAACCUUACCUACACUUGACAUCCUCGGAACUUUCUAGAGAUAGAUUGGUGCCUUCGGGAACCGAGUGACAGGUGCUGCAUGGCUGUCGUCAGCUCGUGUCGUGAGAUGUUGGGUUAAGUCCCGUAACGAGCGCAACCCUUAUCCUUAAUUGCCAGCGGUUAGGCCGGGAACUCUAAGGAGACUGCCGAUGACAAAUCGGAGGAAGGUGGGGACGACGUCAAGUCAUCAUGGCCCUUACGUGUAGGGCUACACACGUGCUACAAUGGCCGGUACAAACGGUUGCGAACCCGCGAGGGGAAGCUAAUCCGAGAAAGCCGGUCGUAGUCCGGAUUGGGGUCUGCAACUCGACCCCAUGAAGUCGGAAUC